RNAcentral lists this long non-coding RNA (2636 nucleotides) under Pelobates cultripes (western spadefoot toad). Lineage: Eukaryota; Metazoa; Chordata; Amphibia; Anura; Pelobatidae. The record is from RNAcentral.
AGCCUAAAUACAAGCAUGGGUUAAAGAAGGUCAGCACAACGCCAAAUUCUGUUACUAUUUACCUAGAAAAGGUGAGCACUGUGUGAACAUAUCCUGCUAUUUCGGGUAUUGCCAUAGAAAACUUUACCGUAUGUAAAUGUUAAAACACAAAAAGUGUGUUUCUGAAUUUUGAUAGUCCCAGCUGUGACCUACAAAUAGAAAUGGAUACACAACUAGUGACAUGGAGCUCAUUAUAGAUAUAUAUAUAUAUUUUAUUUAUCUAUUUAUUUAUUUUAGUAAAAAUAUAACCUUUCAAGCCAGCAUUUGGUAAAUUGAUUGUAGACUGCAUGCAAUACAGCUGUACCGUGGCAUUUUUAGAAAUGUUAUUGAUUUAAUUGAUGAUGUGUCGUAUCUGUUAGACAGUUCACAUCUGUGAGUGGUUUUAUUUUAAAUAAUUUUUACAUCACUGUAAUUCAUCCAUUAUUUCUAUCCUUUCUCCCUUCAUAUCUGGACAAAACCACCAUGUUAUCCUCUCACUAGUAUAUACAUAGUGAAUGGACUUGUUUCUUUAAAGUCCAACCAGAAGGUCUAAGGCACAUGUCCAUACUGGUUUAAUUGCCACAUGGCUCUCUUUGUACAUGCAUGUCAAGUUACGUUACUCCAUAUAUACAUGUAAUAUUGCAAUACAAUACAAUUUGUUAUCAAUACACGUCAUACACAAUAUGAUUUAAUUAUUUUUCGACUUGUGAGUGUUAUUAGGAUUUUUUUUUCAGGAAAAAUAUAUUCUUCUUUAAAGAGUUAAACAAGAAAAAAAACUUACUAUAAUUGCAUGAACCCCCUUAUAUUAAUUUAAAUAUUCCUUCUUUCCUCAGCUAACCAAUAUAGAACAAACGUAUACCAUAGACACAGUGCAGAAUUUUAUAGUGAUGAAUCUGAAACCUGCUGUUGUCAAAGUGUCCGACUAUUAUUUUCCAGGUAAAAUUAGAGAAACACAUCAAUUCAGAUAAAAUGAUUUAUAUAAUUAUGUCUAGCAUAGUCCAGCUUUUUGAAAGCAUACAGACCAUGCCUUGGGCUACAGAGUUCAUUUUUCAAAGCACGUCUAGUGGAAUCCAGUGUAGUUCUAAAAACCACAGGAACUGAUGUUUAUACAACAGAGUACAUCAUUCUGAGUAGGUAAUGCAACUAAUCUUUAUAUAACGGAGCCAAUCUUUUUAAAUAUGCACAAUGUGCCCUUAUAUAACACAGUUUGUCUUUCUGAAAUUAGAAGUAAAUUGUUCUAAAAGUUUUAACCCUUCCCUUCUUCGAUAGAGAUAAUCUUUCUAGACUCAUAGAACUUUCUACAGCAAAUUCCAUCUUUCUAAAAUUAUAGAAACCAUCACUUCUAUCACAGAGUUUCAGUUUAAAAGCACAAGACCCUAUGCUUAUGUUGCAGAGUUUAUUAAAUGCAUCGAUCGUGUUUCAUGCACAGCAAUAUCAAUCUUUCUUAAUACAUAGGACAGGAAGAUAUAAUGUAGUAAUUUGGAGUAAUAUAGAUUAUUUACUGAAUAAUGCAGAGACAUCUAUAGCAUUGUACUAUAUUUAAACGACAUCUAGGAAUAGUCUGACUCAUGGAUAGAUAAACAGUUAUAUCCGGAAUAAAGCGGAAACAUCCAUAUAUAAUGAGACUUUACCUUAAAACUGUGCAUUAUAACUGUAUACCUGGCAGUAUUCCUUAGAUUAUACGUGACCUUUCCACUGUUCUUGUGAGGGUUAUUUACUGAACUGAGAAUUGCCCUGGAAGAGUAAUAUAGAGACUGUCAAGUAUAGUUGACCAAGACCGAGACAGUCACUAAUAAUUAGAGUAAUAUAGAAGCAUCCAGGAACAGCCCUAGUAAUGCAGACACCGCACAGAGUACUGGAGUAAAGCAGCCAUUUAUCGUCUGAGUAAUGCAGAGACAGGCAGAUUUAGUAUAGUUAUACAUGGUAUAACUAUAAGUCUAGACCCUUACGAUCUGCUGAAGACUUACGUCUAUCUUCUGUCCGUACUCCCACCUCUGAUGCUCGCCUUCAAGUUUUCUCGAGGGCUACACUGUUCCUUUGGAACUCGCUUCCCUCCUCCGUUAGAUGCUAACCCAGUCUCCACUCCUUCAAAAAAUCGUUAAAAACCCACUUCUUCAUAAAAGCGUAUCAAUUAAACUGUGAAUAGCACCUGACUGAUUCCUCUUCUGCAACUGUCACUAGUCUAAUACUAUCCUUACCUUUUCUGUGUCAUUUUACCCCACUCCCUCUAGCAUGUAAGCUCAUUGAGCAGGGCCCUCAACCCCUCUGUUCCUGUGUGUCCAACUGGUUACAACUACAUGUCUGUUCGUCCACCCAUUGUAAAGCGCUGCGGAAUUUAAUGGCGCUAUAUAAAUAACAUAAUAAUAAUUGUGUACAGAGACAUAUAAUGUGGGCUUUAGUGAGUCAGACGACCAUUCUGCACACUAACCCAGACUUGGUUUGAAAAGCAGAAUAAAACUGAAGGCUAUAUUCUUUAUUUUUAAGUUUUGUCAUUGAAGAGCAAGUUAGGUGCUAUGUAGGUAUUGCUCCUUACUUCACACUGACCUAUUCUGUUAUAUUCCAGAGGAAAACUCGGUGACCAGCUACACGUUGCCCUCUCUGUGUUUCGAGAAACUCCC